UACGGGGGGGGCAAGCGUUGUUCGGAAUUACUGGGCGUAAAGGGCUCGUAGGCGGCCGCUUAAGUCAGACGUGAAAUCCCUCGGCUUAACCGGGGAACUGCGUCUGAUACUGGAUGGCUUGAAUCCGGGAGAGGGAUGCGGAAUUCCAGGUGUAGCGGUGAAAUGCGUAGAUAUCUGGAGGAACACCGGUGGCGAAGGCGGCAUCCUGGACCGGCAUUGACGCUGAGGAGCGAAAGCCAGGGGAGCAAACGGG
This 253-nucleotide ribosomal RNA is filed under the name uncultured bacterium. RNAcentral's name for it is "partial 16S ribosomal RNA". It matches the Rfam family "Bacterial small subunit ribosomal RNA", at positions 524 to 776 of the family's 1533-position model. The record is from RNAcentral.